GGUGAGGUGUCCGAGUGGCUGAAGGAGCACACGGAAAGUGUGUAUACGGCAACGUAUCGGGGUUCGAAUCCCCCUCACCGCCA
RNAcentral lists this transfer RNA (83 nucleotides) under Klebsiella pneumoniae. RNAcentral describes it as "tRNA-Ser". It matches the Rfam family "tRNA". From Rfam's summary of the family: Transfer RNA (tRNA) molecules are approximately 80 nucleotides in length. Their secondary structure includes four short double-helical elements and three loops (D, anti-codon, and T loops). Further hydrogen bonds mediate the characteristic L-shaped molecular structure. tRNAs have two regions of fundamental functional importance: the anti-codon, which is responsible for specific mRNA codon recognition, and the 3' end, to which the tRNAs corresponding amino acid is attached (by aminoacyl-tRNA synthetases). tRNAs cope with the degeneracy of the genetic code in two manners: having more than one tRNA (with a specific anti-codon) for a particular amino acid; and 'wobble' base-pairing, i.e. permitting non-standard base-pairing at the 3rd anti-codon position. The record is from RNAcentral. Lineage: Bacteria; Pseudomonadati; Pseudomonadota; Gammaproteobacteria; Enterobacterales; Enterobacteriaceae.